Molecule: ribosomal RNA, 614 nt
Filed under: uncultured bacterium
Lineage: Bacteria
Description: bacterial SSU rRNA
Rfam family: Bacterial small subunit ribosomal RNA
Source: RNAcentral
CCUACGGGAGGCAGCAGUGGGGAAUUUUGGACAAUGGGGGCAACCCUGAUCCAGCCAUGCCGCGUGAGUGAAGAAGGCCUUCGGGUUGUAAAGCUCUUUCGGCCGGAACGAAAUCGCGCACGUGAAUAACGUGCGUGGAUGACGGUACCGGAGUAAGAAGCACCGGCUAACUACGUGCCAGCAGCCGCGGUAAUACGUAGGGUGCGAGCGUUAAUCGGAAUUACUGGGCGUAAAGCGUGCGCAGGCGGUUCGCUAAGUCAGACGUGAAAGCCCCGGGCUUAACCUGGGAACGGCGUUUGAAACUGGCGGGCUCGAGUACGGCAGAGGGGGGUGGAAUUCCACGUGUAGCAGUGAAAUGCGUAGAUAUGUGGAGGAACACCGAUGGCGAAGGCAGCCCCCUGGGCCGAUACUGACGCUCAUGCACGAAAGCGUGGGGAGCAAGCAGGAUUAGAUACCCUGGUAGUCCACGCCCUAAACUAUGUCAACUAGUUGUCGGGGAAGCAAUUCCUGGUAACGCAGCUAACGCGUGAAGUUGACCGCCUGGGGAGUACGUCGCGAGAUAACUACAAGAAGUAGACGCGUGAGACGUGCGACGGACGACGACGAGGGAGAGG